AACGGUGGGGCUCGUUUGGUAUCGAGAUCUAUUUAAUGCUAAUAAAAAAACAAAGAGUCAGAUCGAAAGCAUAUGCUAAUAUGUUUCUGAGUUCGUCGGUGCGGAAAAUACAUGAAAUAUAUAGUAAUCGACUCAUUAUAAUAUGCAGAACGCGAUAUUAUACACGAAAAGAAACAAUAUGUUUUGUUCUUUUCCACGAAACUUUUA
This 207-nucleotide long non-coding RNA is filed under the name Ananas comosus (pineapple). RNAcentral's name for it is "long non-coding RNA (ACOM_LNC021814)". The record is from RNAcentral. Lineage: Eukaryota; Viridiplantae; Streptophyta; Magnoliopsida; Poales; Bromeliaceae.